This 483-nucleotide ribosomal RNA is filed under the name uncultured bacterium. RNAcentral describes it as "partial 16S ribosomal RNA". It matches the Rfam family "Bacterial small subunit ribosomal RNA", at positions 30 to 507 of the family's 1533-position model. The record is from RNAcentral.
UUGAACGCUGGCGGCAGGCCUAACACAUGCCGGUCGAGCGGAUGAAGGGAGCUUGCUCCUGGAUUCAGCGGCGGACGGGUGAGUAAUGCCUAGGAAUCUGCCUGGUAGUGGGGGAUAACGUCCGGAAACGGGCGCUAAUACCGCAUACGUCCGGGGGGGGAAAGGGGGGGAUCUUGGGACCCAACGCUAUCAGAGGGGCCUAGGUCGGAUUAGCUAGUUGGUGGGGUAAAGGCCUACCAAGGCGACGAUCCGUAACUGGUCUGAGAGGAUGAUCAGUCACACUGGAACUGAGACACGGUCCAGACUCCUACGGGAGGCAGCAGUGGGGAAUAUUGGACAAUGGGCGAAAGCCUGAUCCAGCCAUGCCGCGUGUGUGAAGAAGGUCUUCGGAUUGUAAAGCACUUUAAGUUGGGAGGAAGGGCAGUAAGUUAAUACCUUGCUGUUUUGACGUUACCAACAGAAUAAGCACCGGCUAACUUCGUG